RNAcentral lists this ribosomal RNA (497 nucleotides) under uncultured bacterium. RNAcentral describes it as "partial 16S ribosomal RNA". It matches the Rfam family "Bacterial small subunit ribosomal RNA", at positions 28 to 507 of the family's 1533-position model. The record is from RNAcentral.
GACGAACGCUGGCGGCGUGCCUAAUACAUGCAAGUAGAACGCUGAAGAGAGGAGCUUACUCUUCUUGGAUGAGUUGCGAACGGGUGAGUAACGCGUAGGUAACCUGCCUUGUAGCGGGGGAUAACUAUUGGAAACGAUAGCUAAUACCGCAUAACAAUGGAUGACACAUGUCAUUUAUUUGAAAGGGGCAAUUGCUCCACUACAAGAUGGACCUGCGCUGUAUUAGCUAGUAGGUGAGGUAAUGGCUCACCUAGGCGACGAUACAUAGCCGACCUGAGAGGGUGAUCGGCCACACUGGGACUGAGACACGGCCCAGACUCCUACGGGAGGCAGCAGUAGGGAAUCUUCGGCAAUGGGGGCAACCCUGACCGAGCAACGCCGCGUGAGUGAAGAAGGUUUUCGGAUCGUAAAGCUCUGUUGUAAGUCAAGAACGGGUGUGAGAGUGGAAAGUUCACACUGUGACGGUAGCUUACCAGAAAGGGACGGCUAACUACGUG